Molecule: long non-coding RNA, 2232 nt
Filed under: Acyrthosiphon pisum (pea aphid)
Lineage: Eukaryota; Metazoa; Arthropoda; Insecta; Hemiptera; Aphididae
Description: uncharacterized LOC100574534, transcript variant X2
Source: RNAcentral
UUCGACCAUAACAUUAAUUAUUUCGUGAAAAUUAAAUAUUUAUCACCAAUACUUUCUCGUCAUGAUUCAAUACAUCGCUUUUAGUGUAAACAUUUUACACGACAAAUCUUUUCUCGUUCACACCGUAUAUCGGACUUCUCUCUCCAAAUGCAUACCAAUUUCCGUUGGUUUAUACUUUAUAGCCCUAUAGUCCGGCUCACGAAAUUGGCGGCUGAUUUUAGCGCUCCCAGUGGCGUAUUUUUGUUAGGGCUAUUAGUAGUAAAUAGCCCUAACAAAAACGUGUGCACGGUCUUAGAAGGUCGGACAACUAUUCAUUAUCAGGGCCCGUUUUACAAUCAUUUUGGUUUAUUAUAAACCAACUAGUUUAUAUGGUUGAAGAAAAUAAUAUAAUAAUAUAGUCCAUAAAAAUAACCCCGAAUUCCAUAUAAAUAAUGUUCUUAACCUCAAAAUACGUCUAACCGGCAGAACCGUCUAACGUUUUUGCCUCAUUAAGACUUAAGGGAAAUGUGAUGGGCGGGAGGGAGAGAAGUUGUCCGACCUUAUCUUCUAACUGUGCACUAAAUUAUUUAAAUGUCUCGAUGUUUAUAGGUUAUCAUAAUCUAUAGUGGAAGAUGGUCGAGGCUUAAGGUGAACCUUGGACGAUGGUGACAAUUUUUAAUAAUCGUAUCCGGUGUAACCGGUUCACAACUACGUCGCGUUUGACCGUUUCGUGUAGUGUCGAUCAAAUCGUAUUGUGAUUGGAUAUUACUACUUUUUUGGUAUGAUGCGGUAACCAAGUUGCCACUGAGUAUACCAAGGGUUGACUAGCUGUAACCAUAGCUACCACGUCCUCGCACGAAACGCCACAUCGACACCACAACUCUAACCUAACUUAUUGCUGUGAAGUCGGCUUGUAUAGGAUUGUUGUGUUUUUUAUUUUGCGUUUUGAUCCGUGCAUGCUAUUUAGGUUCUGUGUUUAAAUUAUGCUGUUCGUUAGAUCCCAGAAAAAUAAACAUUUAUUUUCUCAUUGUAUCAGAUAACAGACUAAGUGAUGUAACGGGAUGUUAGUUAUCAACUAGUUACAGGCAUGUUUCAUUACACCCUUAUACAUUUUCAAAGCCUGAACUUCAGUUAAAACGUGGACAGUUUAUAUUAUGGUUACUGAAUACUGCUUGCUGGCAUAAAGGAACAUCAUUAAAAACUCAUUGUUCUGGUGAAAAAUAAUUAAAAUAUCUGUUUGUUAAUCUGGAAAAUCUGGAAUUAUUCAUCUUCAGUUCAAGAACAAAAAAAUGGUUAUUUGUCAAAUAAUGGUUAAUUAAACGAUUGUAGUUUUCAAAUGAUAUAAAUGAAAAUUGACCUUUAUGUAUACCAUCUGAACCAAUCGUAGCAGAAGACCUGUACUUUUUGUAUGUCGUAUCCGUAUAUAUAAUAUUUUUUCAUAUCCAAUCAUCACCAACAUACAAUUUCAAAUCUGUAUGUGGUAAUACAGAUUUGCAGAAUUCUACUAAACUUACAGCAACAUCAAAUAUUUACUGACAAUGAUUCAAAUGCUGUUCGUGUGGUUAAUACUGUUGCUUGCUCCUUCUACUACUGAAUCACCAUCAAAUUCCUCGAGUCCAGAAAAUUGUUUCAGUUGGAUUAAAAACAUGGGAGGAAAAAAUGCUUCCUUACAAGAAAUAAAUUCAGUGCAUAGUUUUUAUAAUAUAAAAAUUAAAAAAUGUACACUUCAAUGUGGACAUUCUAGUAUUUAAUGAUAAUACACCAACAUUAUAGUUGCACCAUCUUAACCAAAUCACACUAGUGAACAGCAACCAAAUGAAUCAUUAGUUUCAUUUUAAAUUGCAUUGUUUUGAUACAAAUAAUGAUAUUUGUAUUAAGCCACAAGACUAAAAACUUAAACAUAGUUCACAUACUCAGCAAAAUAAUAUGUAAGUUUAAUAUUAUAAUAUACUCUAUUCAACUUAAGAAAUGUAGUUAGCGGCAACCAGUUUUUGACAUCGGCGGUCAUGUACCUCCUAUUGUUCUCACACUGUUCACGUGCACGUUUACUAACCUAACCUACGCACUACAAUAUUAUUCACAGUACUAUAUACUAUAAACUUUGAAUACUAAUGUUAAAAUCUUUACUUGUCAAACAGCAUUUUCAAAAUAUUUAAAUUAAUUUUAAGUUACUACAAUAGAAAACAACACUAUCAUAAUAAUCAAAUAUAUUCAUAACAAAUUGAAUUUAUUUAUUCAAUUUUAUGUUAAAUA